RNAcentral lists this ribosomal RNA (275 nucleotides) under uncultured bacterium. Its description in RNAcentral is "partial 16S ribosomal RNA". It matches the Rfam family "Bacterial small subunit ribosomal RNA", at positions 338 to 610 of the family's 1533-position model. The record is from RNAcentral.
CCUACGGGUGGCUGCAGUAAGGAAUAUUGGGCAAUGGACGCAAGUCUGACCCAGCCAUGCCGCGUGAAGGAUGAAGGUCCUCUGGAUUGUAAACUUCUUUUAUCUGGGGCGAAAAUCGGGUAUUCUUAUCCGCUUGACAGUACCAGAGGAAUAAGCACCGGCUAACUCCGUGCCAGCAGCCGCGGUAAUACGGAGGGUGCAAGCGUUAUCCGGAUUCACUGGGUUUAAAGGGUGCGUAGGUGGACAGGUAAGUCAGUGGUGAAAUCCCCGAGCUU